CUACGGGAGGCACCAGUGAGGAAUAUUGCACAAUGGGGGGAACCCUGAUGCAGCAACGCCGCGUGGAGGAUGACGCAUUUCGGUGUGUAAACUCCUUUUAUAUGUCAAGAAAAUGACGGUAGCAUAUGAAUAAGCACCGGCUAACUCCGUGCCAGCAGCCGCGGUAACACGGAGGGUGCAAGCGUUACUCGGAAUCACUGGGCGUAAAGGACGCGUAGGCGGGUUGGAAAGUCAGGUGUGAAAUCCUACAGCUUAACUGUAGAACUGCACUUGAAACUUCUAAUCUAGAGUAUGGGAGGGGGAGAUGGAAUUAGUGGUGUAGGGGUAAAAUCCGUAGAUAACACUAGGAAUACCUAAAGCGAAGGCGAUCUCCUGGAACAUUACUGACGCUAAGGCGUGAAAGCGUGGGGAGCAAACAGGAUUAGAUACCCUCGUAGUC
RNAcentral lists this ribosomal RNA (439 nucleotides) under uncultured bacterium. RNAcentral's name for it is "partial 16S ribosomal RNA". It matches the Rfam family "Bacterial small subunit ribosomal RNA", at positions 339 to 795 of the family's 1533-position model. The record is from RNAcentral.